Molecule: long non-coding RNA, 888 nt
Organism: Gracilinanus agilis (Agile Gracile Mouse Opossum)
Lineage: Eukaryota; Metazoa; Chordata; Mammalia; Didelphimorphia; Didelphidae
Exons: 5
Source: RefSeq, a predicted model, not a curated record
AUGAUUCACAUUGUCUUUCUGUCGUGCGGGCCGGCCUGGCGGGCCCAGCUUUGGCUUCCGACCCGGGGCAGCGAAGGAUGAGAAGCCGCCGCGCAGGCCAGUAGCUGGACAUGAAAUGAGACCCGCAGAGAAUCUGGAGUCUGCCCUUGGGCAGCACGCAGGAAGGUGUGCUGCUCUGCUGCUCAGGAUGUGGAAUGAAGAAUCCAGGUGAUCAGAAAUCAGAUAACAGCAGGACAGCAGCCCACUAGGAGGCCGUCAGAAACUUAAGAUCUGGAGGAAGUCUUCAGGUGAUGGCAAUGGUGUCCUUUGGAUGGGAUCUUGACAGACCUUGCUUUGAGCUGCAAAUAUCACUGCAUUUUCCAGUCAGUUUCCUGAAAUAUGUUCACAGGGGUUUUUAGUAGAGCUCUUUUCCCACACAUUGUUACUGUAAACAUUCUACCCAAAGGCUUGUUUUGGUCUAGCCUAUAUUUGAGUAAAAGCUCAGAGUUAUAAUUGCUAUGAGAGGCCCUUGGUAUCAAGGUGUUUGUCUGGGCACCCCUACUAGACUUCUUCAGAGAGGAAAGGCCACCAUUGCUUACGCAAUAUCUUAUAGAGGUCAGGCUUUGCCAUCCCACUCUCCAGAAUUGCAGUGACAUCCAUCCUUGGGUCCCCUUGCUGCAGCACCCUCAUGCUAGUGUCCUUCUGGGGUGUUGAGGCAGGAUAGAAUUUGGAGCUGGGAAAGGCAGAAUGACCUGUGUCAUCUUUUUAAUUAUAAAGAGCUCUUCUGAUCAGCCGAAUGAACCGUGGAAGGUUUCAGUGUUGGUGCUAAUUAAAUUUCUUAUCUGGGUGGAGUAUAACAACUUUGCAUUGAUGUAGUAAGCUUGUUUUAAUUAAAAUCUAAAGAAAACA